RNAcentral lists this ribosomal RNA (447 nucleotides) under uncultured bacterium. RNAcentral's name for it is "partial 16S ribosomal RNA". It matches the Rfam family "Bacterial small subunit ribosomal RNA", at positions 29 to 523 of the family's 1533-position model. The record is from RNAcentral.
AACGAACGCUGGCGGCAGGCUUAACACAUGCAAGUCGAGCGCCUCGCAAGAGGAGCGGCAGACGGGUGAGUAACGCGUGGGAAUCUACCGUACCCUACGGAAUAGCUCUGGGAAACUGGAAGUAAUACCGUAUACGCCCUUUGGGGGAAAGAUUUAUCGGGGUAUCAUGAGCCCGCGUUGGAUUAGCUAGUUGGUGGGGUAAAGGCCUACCAAGGCGACGAUCCAUAGCUGGUCUGAGAGGAUGAUCAGCCACAUUGGGACUGAGACACGGCCCAAACUCCUACGGGAGGCAGCAGUGGGGAAUAUUGGACAAUGGGCGCAAGCCUGAUCCAGCCAUGCCGCGUGAGUUAUGAAGGUCUUAGGAUUGCAAAGCUCUUUCACCGAUGAAGAUAAUGACGGUAGUCGGAGAAGAAGCCCCGGCUAACUUCGUGCCAGCCGCCGCAGUAA